UCACUUAACGUUGACAUAGAGAAGCAAGUCAAAUUUAGGUGAGAGACUUUAACAUUCAAAAGCAAAGUUCGUUGGUCAAUUACACCAAGUGAACCAUUCAACCCAAAGUAUAAAUAAUCUAAACCAAGCAUUUGUUUCUCUUAUAUAUGAGGGUUAUAAACAUAUACAGAUGAAGCACAAGCUUGGCACAAUCGAAUGGGUCUCAAAGCUGCAGCAAUACUAUGAAGGCAAUGCCACCAGAUAGAAGCCAUGGCUCUAAAUAGAUAAAUAGUACCUUUGCUCUAGUUUCUCUUCAACAAAUGCCCACCAAGCAGGAAAGGCACGUGGCAAGUAUAAAUUAACACUUUCCAAUAAGGGCGGACCGAAAAACUUCAGUCACAAAAGCAUUGCUUCUCACACCGAUGUCUGCAGCUUCGGAGAGUAGAGGUCCACCCACAGGAGCAACACAAGCAUAACCACCACAAAAUCUUGAACAGGCAGUCAUUCUGAAUCAGAGAUUUCGUCUUCAUCCUCGUCCAGUAUGUAGACCAGGGCCCGCUUUCUUGCAGCUAAAACACAAGCCACACCUCUACUUGCUGUCGCCAUAAAAACAUGAACUUGAUUUCAGUCCAACGUUCCUUGAAUAUAUGGCCAUAACUAACGUGAUGUUUAGAUACCUUUGUUGGGUAAAAGCAAAAGUACAACACGCAUUAUGCUAAAACACAGGCAGUAAGCAAACCUUGGUGCCUAAGGAGGCUAUGGUAUGCAUGUAAACUACGAAUGCUCUACAGUAUCUUGCUAUACUAGCUACCAUGAUAGUAUCUAUCAUCAUGAACAUGUACAGGUUCUCAGUCAGUAACUAGACUGCAGUGAACCUACCAUAAGAAGAUUAUUCUCUGUACUUGUGCGGUCUCUAAAGAUUCACCUUUUCUGCACUUUGACCUCUCAAUUGAUUUAAAUUUAGGGGAAAACCUGAUACUUUAGCAUAUUACUUCUUCAACUGAAAAAAAAAUUGUUCUUCUUUGGAGCAUAAGUUUGCAC
Molecule: long non-coding RNA, 1020 nt
Filed under: Eucalyptus grandis
Lineage: Eukaryota; Viridiplantae; Streptophyta; Magnoliopsida; Myrtales; Myrtaceae
Description: long non-coding RNA (EGRA_LNC007820)
Source: RNAcentral